RNAcentral lists this ribosomal RNA (253 nucleotides) under uncultured bacterium. RNAcentral's name for it is "partial 16S ribosomal RNA". It matches the Rfam family "Bacterial small subunit ribosomal RNA", at positions 524 to 776 of the family's 1533-position model. The record is from RNAcentral.
UACAGAGGUCUCAAGCGUUGUUCGGAUUCAUUGGGCGUAAAGGGUGCGUAGGUGGCGCUGUAAGUCGGGUGUGAAAUUUCGGAGCUUAACUCCGAAACUGCAUUCGAUACUGCGGUGCUUGAGGACUGGAGAGGAGACUGGAAUUCAUGGUGUAGCAGUGAAAUGCGUAGAGAUCAUGAGGAAGACCAGUGGCGAAGGCGGGUCUCUGGACAGUUCCUGACACUGAGGAGCGAAAGCGUGGGGAGCGAACAGG